GAUGAACGCUGGCGGCGUGCCUAAGAAAUGAAAGUAGAGUGAACAGACGAGGAGCUUGCUCCUCUGAUGUUAGCGGCGGACGGGUGAGUAACACGUGGAUAACCUACCUAUAAGACUGGGAUAACUUCGGGAAACCGGAGCUAAUACCGGAUAACAUGUUGAACCGCAUGGUUCAACAGUGAAAGACGGUCUUGCUGUCACUUAUAGAUGGAUCCGCGCCGCAUUAGCUAGUUGGUAAGGUAACGGCUUACCAAGGCAACGAUGCGUAGCCGACCUGAGAGGGUGAUCGGCCACACUGGAACUGAGACACGGUCCAGACUCCUACGGGAGGCAGCAGUAGGGAAUCUUCCGCAAUGGGCGAAAGCCUGACGGAGCAACGCCGCGUGAGUGAAGAAGGUCUUCGGAUCGUAAAACUCUGUUAUUAGGGAAGAACAAAUGUGUAAGUAACUAUGCACGUCUUGACGGUACCUAAUCAGAAAGCCACGGCUAACUACGUG
Molecule: ribosomal RNA, 497 nt
Filed under: uncultured bacterium
Lineage: Bacteria
Description: partial 16S ribosomal RNA
Rfam family: Bacterial small subunit ribosomal RNA
Source: RNAcentral